GACGUAGGGCGCGAGCGUUGUCCGGAUUUAUUGGGCGUAAAGAGCUCGUAGGCGGCUCAUUGCGUCAACCGUGAAAACCAGCAGCUCAACUGUUGGCUUGCGGUUGAUACGGGUGGGCUGGAGUUCGGUAGGGGAGACUGGAAUUCCUGGUGUAGCGGUGAAAUGCGCAGAUAUCAGGAGGAACACCGGUGGCGAAGGCGGGUCUCUGGGCCGAUACUGACGCUGAGGAGCGAAAGCGUGGGGAGCAAACAGG
This 253-nucleotide ribosomal RNA is filed under the name uncultured bacterium. RNAcentral's name for it is "partial 16S ribosomal RNA". It matches the Rfam family "Bacterial small subunit ribosomal RNA", at positions 524 to 776 of the family's 1533-position model. The record is from RNAcentral.